GAACGCACAUUGCGCCCCAUGGUAUUCCGUGGGGCAUGCCUGUUCGAGCGUCAUCUACACCCUCAAGCACUGCUUGGUGUUGGGCGUCUGUCCCGCCUUUGCGCGUGGACUCGCCCCAAAGUCAUUGGCAGCGGUCUCUGGCACCUCAACGCGCAGUACAAUGCGUUCAUUGGGGUGCCGUGGGCGCGACCAUAAAGCUAUUUACCGUCUUUGACCUCGGAUCAGGUAGGGAUACCCGCUGAACUUAAG
This 249-nucleotide unclassified non-coding RNA is filed under the name uncultured Pleosporales. RNAcentral's name for it is "sequence contains 5.8S rRNA gene". The stretch from base 1 to 53 matches the Rfam family "5.8S ribosomal RNA", at positions 102 to 154 of the family's 154-position model. Lineage: Eukaryota; Fungi; Ascomycota; Dothideomycetes; Pleosporales. The record is from RNAcentral.